This 546-nucleotide ribosomal RNA is filed under the name Minervarya asmati (Bangladeshi cricket frog). RNAcentral describes it as "partial large subunit ribosomal RNA". It matches the Rfam family "Bacterial large subunit ribosomal RNA", at positions 1850 to 2604 of the family's 2925-position model. The record is from RNAcentral. Lineage: Eukaryota; Metazoa; Chordata; Amphibia; Anura; Dicroglossidae.
AGGUCCAGCCUGCCCAGUGAUAUUUUUUAACGGCCGCGGUACUCUGACCGUGCGAAGGUAGCAUAAUCACUUGUUCUUUAAAUGAGGACUAGUAUCAACGGCAUCACGAGGAUUUUACUGUCUCCUUUUUCCUAUCGGUGAAACUGAUCUCCCCGUGAAGAAGCGGGGAUAAUUCUAUAAGACGAGAAGACCCCAUGGAGCUUUAAACCCAGAGACACCUCAAACCCCCCUUUCCAUAAAAGUUUUUAUGUGCUGUCCUCUGGUUUUAGGUUGGGGUGACCGCGGAGUAAAACUUAACCUCCACAACGCACGGAACUUCUUCCUUAUCUAAGAGCAACAUCUCAAAGAAUUAACAUAUUGACGUAAAAUGAUCCAAUAACUUUUAUUUUGAUCAACGAACCAAGUUACCCUGGGGAUAACAGCGCAAUCCAUUUCCAGAGCCCCUAUCGACAAAUGGGUUUACGACCUCGAUGUUGGAUCACGGUAUCCCACUGGUGCAGCCGCUGCUAAUGGUGUGUUUGUUCAACAAUUAAAACCCUACAGUAG